RNAcentral lists this ribosomal RNA (449 nucleotides) under uncultured bacterium. RNAcentral describes it as "partial 16S ribosomal RNA". It matches the Rfam family "Bacterial small subunit ribosomal RNA", at positions 29 to 523 of the family's 1533-position model. The record is from RNAcentral.
AACGAACGCUGGCGGCAGGCUUAACACAUGCAAGUCGAACGAUGUAGCAAUACAUAGUGGCGCACGGGUGAGUAACGCGUGGGAAUAUACCGAGAAGUGGGGAAUAACUCCGGGAAACGACUGCUAAUACCGUAUACGCCCUACGGGGGAAAGAUUUAUCGGAUUUGGAUGAGCCCGCGUAAGACUAGCUAGUUGGUGGGGUAAUGGCCUACCAAGGCGACGAUCUUUAGCUGGUCUGAGAGGAUGAUCAGCCACACUGGGACUGAGACACGGCCCAGACUCCUACGGGAGGCAGCAGUGGGGAAUAUUGGACAAUGGGCGCAAGCCUGAUCCAGCCAUGCCGCGUGAGUGAUGAAGGCCUUAGGGUUGUAAAGCUCUUUCAGUAGGGAAGAUAAUGACGGUACCUACAGAAGAAGCCCCGGCUAACUUCGUGCCAGCCGCCGCGGUAA